UAAUUUAAGUCUGAGAGUGGUGCAGUAUUCUAGUCAGUACAACUAAUUUUGAAGGCGGGGCUAAAAAUCCGUCAAAGGGCACAUCGAUGAAGUUCCUGGUUUCGGCUGCUGACGCCCAGUUGGGAGUCGUUUCUGGGAGUAAGGGGGAUGGGGCGAUCUGCAAUGGCAUGCAGGCGUUGACCCUACUCUCGUGGAGACUCGUACAAACUAUUAACGGGAUAAACCUGCAUUGUGGUGCAAGCUACUUGCAGCGUAGCCUGCCUUGAGUGAAAUAGGCGGAACAUGGUUGUGGCUUUAGAAUCCAUGGGCCCAUGGAAGAAAGGCUUUGUCAUCGAAACCUAUUUUGCAAAAGAGGCUAGAAAUUAGUAUGGCUGUAGAGGAAAUCUCCUAGACUGUUCUCAUGGAUGAGAAGUAUAUUUAGGAUUACAGUGCGGACUAAGUGGCAAUCUAGCCCUAUUUUUGGCGACGAUAUA
This 473-nucleotide small RNA is filed under the name Proteiniborus ethanoligenes. Lineage: Bacteria; Bacillati; Bacillota; Clostridia; Eubacteriales. The record is from RNAcentral.